UGAAGGCCAUCCCCGAAGGCUUCGUGUGUG
This 30-nucleotide non-coding RNA is filed under the name Homo sapiens (human). The record is from RNAcentral. Lineage: Eukaryota; Metazoa; Chordata; Mammalia; Primates; Hominidae.